This 369-nucleotide ribosomal RNA is filed under the name uncultured organism. RNAcentral describes it as "bacterial SSU rRNA". It matches the Rfam family "Bacterial small subunit ribosomal RNA", at positions 526 to 896 of the family's 1533-position model. The record is from RNAcentral.
CGUAGGGUGCAAGCGUUAAUCGGAAUUACUGGGCGUAAAGCGUGCGCAGGCGGUUGUGCAAGACAGAUGUGAAAUCCCCGGGCUUAACCUGGGAACUGCAUUUGUGACUGCACGGCUAGAGUGUGUCAGAGGGGGUAGAAUUCCACGUGUAGCAGUGAAAUGCGUAGAUAUGUGGAGGAAUACCGAUGGCGAAGGCAGCCCCCUGGGAUAACACUGACGCUCAUGCACGAAAGCGUGGGGAGCAAACAGGAUUAGAUACCCUGGUAGUCCACGCCCUAAACGAUGUCAACUAGUUGUCGGGUCUUAAUUGACUUGGUAACGCAGCUAACGCGUGAAGUUGACCGCCUGGGGAGUACGGUCGCAAGAUUA